AGAGGGAAGUUUAGCCGGGAAGUUUGCAUCUAAGAG
RNAcentral lists this ribosomal RNA (36 nucleotides) under Babesia bigemina. RNAcentral describes it as "large subunit ribosomal RNA LSU2". RNAcentral also lists the same sequence under 4 other names. The record is from RNAcentral. Lineage: Eukaryota; Apicomplexa; Aconoidasida; Piroplasmida; Babesiidae.